GAGUUUGAUCCUGGCUCAGAUUGAACGCUGGCGGCGUGCUUAACACAUGCAAGUCGAACGAGAAAGGGACUUCGGUCCUGAGUAGAGUGGCGCACGGGUGAGUAACGCGUAGGUAAUCUACCUCUGCAUCUGGGAUAACACUUCGAAAGGGGUGCUAAUACCGGAUACACUUAUGGACCGCAAGGUCUAUAAGGAAAGGAGACGAUCCGCAAGGAGUUUCUGUGUAGAGAUGAGCCUGCGUCCCAUUAGCUAGUUGGUAGGGUAAAGGCCUACCAAGGCGACGAUGGUUAGCUGGUCUGAGAGGAUGAUCAGCCACACUGGAACUGAGACACGGUCCAGACUCCUACGGGAGGUAGCAGUGGGGAAUUUUGCGCAAUGGGCGAGAGCCUGACGCAGCAACGCCGCGUGAGUGAUGAAGGCUUUCGGGUCGUAGAGCUCUGUCGAGGGGAAAGAAGUGUACUUUGGCUAAUAUCCAUUGUACUUGACGGUACCCCUAAAGGAAGCACCGGCUAACUCCGUGCCAGCAGCCGCGGUAAUAC
This 539-nucleotide ribosomal RNA is filed under the name uncultured Geobacteraceae bacterium. Its description in RNAcentral is "bacterial SSU rRNA". It matches the Rfam family "Bacterial small subunit ribosomal RNA", at positions 9 to 526 of the family's 1533-position model. Lineage: Bacteria; Pseudomonadati; Thermodesulfobacteriota; Desulfuromonadia; Geobacterales; Geobacteraceae. The record is from RNAcentral.